AUUGAACGCUGGCGGCAGGCCUAACACAUGCAAGUCGAGCGGAUGAAGGGAGCUUGCUCCUGGAUUCAGCGGCGGACGGGUGAGUAAUGCCUAGGAAUCUGCCUGGUCGUGGGGGAUAACGUCCGGAAACGGGCGCUAAUACCGCAUACGUUCUGAGGGUGAACGUGGGGGAUCUUCGGACCUCACGCUAUCAGAUGAGCCUAGGUCGUAUUAGCUAGUUGGUGGGGUAAAGGCCUACCAAGGCGACGAUCCGUAACUGGUCUGAGAGGAUGAUCAGUCACACUGGAACUGAGACACGGUCCAGACUCCUACGGGAGGCAGCAGUGGGGAAUAUUGGACAAUGGGCGAAAGCCUGAUGCAGCCAUGCCGCGUGUGUGAAGAAGGUCUUCGGAUUGUAAAGCACUUUAAGUUGGGAGGAAGGGCAGUAAGUUAAUACCUUGCUGUUUUGACGUUACCAACAGAAUAAGCACCGGCUAACUUCGUG
Molecule: ribosomal RNA, 484 nt
Filed under: uncultured bacterium
Lineage: Bacteria
Description: partial 16S ribosomal RNA
Rfam family: Bacterial small subunit ribosomal RNA
Source: RNAcentral